UUCCCCUCCUCCUCCUGGAGGCAUCCUUUGGGAAUAUUUCCCCAUGGGGGACCCCCUUAUGCAGCUCCUCCUCGUGAGCUCUUCCUUAUUUCGUUCUUUCAAGCUCUUUCCUCCGGGAAGACUACUUCCGGUACCUUCCUCCGAAGCACCUUCUCCAUACGUGCCCUCCUCCGCGGUCCUCCUUAUGGUGCCCUCUUUAUCCGGAGGUCCUGGGUGUAAAGGGCGCGCAGGAGGGGAGGCAAGUCUGAGGGGAAAGCCCGGGGGGAAACCGCGGGACUGCAUUGGAAACUGCGGGACUGGAGUGUCGGAGGGGGAAGCGGAAGGCAGGGUGUAGCGGGGAAAUGCGUAGAGAGAAGGAGGAACAAAGGUGGCGAAGGCGGAGGAAUGGACGAGGAAUGACGCUGAGGCUCGAAAGCGUGGGGAGAAAACAGGAUUAGAUACCCGAGUAC
RNAcentral lists this ribosomal RNA (449 nucleotides) under uncultured bacterium. RNAcentral's name for it is "bacterial SSU rRNA". It matches the Rfam family "Bacterial small subunit ribosomal RNA", at positions 328 to 793 of the family's 1533-position model. The record is from RNAcentral.